Molecule: ribosomal RNA, 468 nt
Filed under: uncultured bacterium
Lineage: Bacteria
Description: bacterial SSU rRNA
Rfam family: Bacterial small subunit ribosomal RNA
Source: RNAcentral
GAUGAACGCUGGUGGCGUGCUUAACACAUGCAAGUCGAGCGAAGCAGUUAAGUUGAUUUCUUCGGAUUGAUUCUUAAUUGACUGAGCGGCGGACGGGUGAGUAACGCGUGGGUGACCUGCCCCAUACCGGGGGAUAACAGCUGGAAACGGCUGCUAAUACCGCAUAAGCGCACAGAGCUGCAUGGCUCAGUGUGAAAAACUCCGGUGGUAUGGGAUGGGCCCGCGUCUGAUUAGGCAGUUGGCGGGGUAACGGCCCACCAAACCGACGAUCCAUAGCCGACCUGAGAGGGUGACCGGCCACAUUGGGACUGAGACACGGCCCAAACUCCUACGGGAGGCAGCAGUGGGGAAUAUUGCACAAUGGGCGAAAGCCUGAUGCAGCGACGCCGCGUGAGCGAAGAAGUAUUUCGGUAUGUAAAGCUCUAUCAGCAGGGAAGAUAAUGACGGUACCUGACUAAGAAGCACCGG